UACGGGGGGGGCAAGCGUUGUUCGGAAUUACUGGGCGUAAAGCGCGUGUAGGCGGCUCUUCAAGUCGAGUGUGAAAGCUCCAGGCUUAACCUGGGAAUUGCGCUCGAUACUGUUGAGCUAGAGUGUGGAAGGGGCUACUGGAAUUCCGUGUGUAGCGGUGAAAUGCGUAGAUAUACGGAGGAACACCAAUAGCGAAGGCAGCUCGCUGGGACGUUACUGACACUGAGGCGCGAAAGCGUGGGGAGCGAACAGG
This 253-nucleotide ribosomal RNA is filed under the name uncultured bacterium. Its description in RNAcentral is "partial 16S ribosomal RNA". It matches the Rfam family "Bacterial small subunit ribosomal RNA", at positions 524 to 776 of the family's 1533-position model. The record is from RNAcentral.